RNAcentral lists this ribosomal RNA (507 nucleotides) under uncultured bacterium. RNAcentral's name for it is "partial 16S ribosomal RNA". It matches the Rfam family "Bacterial small subunit ribosomal RNA", at positions 28 to 507 of the family's 1533-position model. The record is from RNAcentral.
GACGAACGCUGGCGGCGUGCUUAACACAUGCAAGUCGAACGGGCCUUGUCCCCUUUUUUUUGGGGGUGGGGCUAGUGGCGAACGGGUGAGUAACACGUGAGUAACCUGCCCCUCACUUCUGGAUAACCGCUUGAAAGGGUGGCUAAUACGGGGUGUUCUGGCCUGCUCGCAUGGGUGGGUUUGGAAAGAUUCGACCGGUUUUGGUUGUUUUGGUGGGGGAUGGGCUCGCGGCCUAUCAGCUUGUUGGUGGGGUGAUGGCCUGCCAAGGCUUUGACGGGUAGCCGGCCUGAGAGGGUGGGCGGUCACACUGGGACUGAGACACGGCCCAGACUCCUACGGGAGGCAGCAGUGGGGAAUAUUGCACAAUGGGCGCAAGCCUGAUGCAGCGACGCCGCGUGAGGGAUGGAGGCCUUCGGGUUGUGAACCUCUUUCGCCAGUGAAGAAGGUCCUGCUCUUUGUGGUGGGGUUGACGGUAGCUGGGUUAAUGAAGCGCCGGCUAACUACGUG